AAAGCGGUGCGAAAACUUGUACAUUAAAAUCGACAACGGUUCUAAUUGUGUAUCCCUUCAUUAAUGUGUGUGUGUGAGUGUGUGUCAUUCCAAGAACAUUAUUCAGCUCGGCGGCGAUAUAAACAAAUCGUCGGUAGCUCCUAACCAUCAAAGACACAUGCCGAACACCUAAUCUAGCCUUUGUGUAACCCUAUAUUUUUUCCGGCUCGACAAAACCGUUGACCAUCUAGCCCGAGAUAAUCUUAAUGAUACGUAGAAGGACUUCACGCUUUAUUCAUUAGCCUAAACAUUGGCACUCUAUAAGAAGUAUGGUGAGAUUGCAGUUCCCUUGACAUUUUACUACCAUUGAAGUACGAAGUGCGAACAGUCAGUCAGUCGAUCAAGUGCAACAGGGGUACACACAAUUUUUACAAUGGAGUAUAGACGAGGAAUCAGAAAUAUUACAAUUUUCGUCCCAAUUGAAUGGAUACAAAGGGCUCCCGAGGCCGCUAUUAAGGAUGCUGUAGCCGUAGGGCUACUAAUGUACCGACCUGAGAUUCGUAAUAACCUCACUGUGUAUGCAGAAUUAGUGGGAGUUACAACUAAACUCGUUGUAAGAAAUAACAACGAGUUUUGGUUCCUGCGAUUAAGUGAUGUGAAUGUUUAAUUGGAAAACGAAUUCGUGAUUAUCAUCAUAAUCAUCUUCUCAACGAUCAGAAUGUACUUAUAUUAUAAAAUUUUAAUGUAAUAAAUAUAUAAAAUUAGUAUUCUUGAAGUACUAUUUUAUAUUUCUACUAAAUUAAGCAAACAUAAGCAGCCUGUUCCCAACACCACCUCCUAUAGUAAUCCUUUUCUAUAUAAAUAACGUUACAGUUGUAUUAUACUAUCAUUCCAAGAGUGAUAAUCAAUGAAAAAGGUACGUGCGAGAUAACCUCAAAUGGGGCAAUCACAGGGAGCAGAACGCGAGCGGGCUACAAGAGAAAGAGAGCAGUUUCGAAGAGAUCGGUAUCAUGAGUGGCUGCGUAGUUCAGAUCUCCCAGAUUCUGAAAGGCAUCGUCGCAUCACAUUCGCAAACAAUAAUUCGUUCGAAAACUCAGCGACACGUGGAAAUCCUACUAGAUCGGAUCAGGGUAACACUGCAAGAGGUUCUUCAGGAAACUCAUCCUCCGGUGAGCGUCAGCCUGAGAAUUCAAGGGUAGGAGAAGAAAAUCAAACGAACAAAUAAAAAUUAUUGUUUUUGUGAAUGAGGAUGACUAUGAUGAGUGAAAAUAUAUACCGUUUUAAAUGAAUUUCUCCAUUUUUUGAGUGAUUCUUAGAUUCCACCCACACAAUUCCUAAAAUCUGCCGUAAAAUCCCUGAUACCUGCCGUAAUAUUUCUGAAGUCUGCCGUAAAACCCCUGACGCCUGACGUAAAAUCCCUGACACCUGACGUAAAGCUAGGGCCCCCUGCCGAUGACGUCAGCCGAUGAAGGGGUCGGCGCCGUCGACUACUGCGCGCGCAGCACCCUCUUCAAAAAAAAUUUCGGGCCCGUCGG
Long non-coding RNA from Cephus cinctus (wheat stem sawfly), 1514 nucleotides. RefSeq lists it as uncharacterized. Lineage: Eukaryota; Metazoa; Arthropoda; Insecta; Hymenoptera; Cephidae. The transcript is spliced from 3 exons. The record is from RefSeq and is a predicted model, not a curated record.